AUGGUGGGAGUUGUAGUCCAAGGGAGGCCUUCCCUCCACUUUCUGCAGCAGGAUUCCCAGGCUCCAUUUCUAAGUUCAAUUCCCAGAAGCCUCAGCUGCCUUGAGCCAAGGCUGGGGCUUCUGGGCGAUGGAGUCCCAGGAGAUGGAAGGCGAGGGGGAAGGAAGCCGAGAAGGAAGCAAGCCCAAGAAGCCUCUUCUUUGUCUGCCUGUCUGGCUUUCCCUUUGCAGCCGCAGUCCUGUUCCUUUAACGCUAAGCCCCGCCUCUCUAUGGGCGCCUCCUCGUGGCCGCCAUGUCCAGGCCGGGCGGAAGUAGAGCGAGAGGGAGGCCUCCGCUCCCUAGAGAGGCCGGAUGAAGUGCUUAGGAGGGGAGCAGAGAGUGACGCUCUUCGCUCUGAGCUCACUUCCGGAGGAGCGGGGCCUUGUCUCGGGCGCCUUCCAGACCAGGCCUGCAUCCGGGUGUUUCGGGCCUGGCCUCCCUCAGGGACUCCUCAGAGGCGGCGUUCCCUUCUCCCUCAGCCGGUAACCUCUGAAUAAAUCUUAUGAAGAACACCUAGUGAGAGCGUUGCCUGGGGAGUCCAGUAAGUCUAAAGUGACUUGAAGAUACACAACAUGAGAAGAAGAAAAAAUAAGUAGUACACAAAUAUAUUUUAAGCUACAUACCUGUAGUAUGAUAGUGCUGUAAAAAGAACGGCUUGGGAAAGCCAGCAGAAGUCUACAGCAGAGCAAACACAGUGCUGUUCAAGAGGUUAUAAACACCUGGCAUAAUUGAAUUAUAAAUUCAAUAUAAAAUAUAAAAGAAUGGCAAGUCCUCUACCUCCCUAUCCCAAAUCACACACAGGGGAGAACUUUCAUUGGUAUAUGGAAUGUGGAAAGCCUUUCAGUCGCAGUGGAAAUCUGCUUUGCCAUGAAAGGACCCACACAGGGAAGAAGCCACAUAAAUGCAUGGAAUGUGGAAAGAGCUUCAGUCACAGUUCGGAUCUGCGUUCCCAUCAAAGGACCCACACAGGGGAGAAGCCAUAUAAAUGCAUGGAAUGUGGAAAAAGCUUCAGUCAGAGUGGAUGUCUGCAUUCCCAUCAAAGGACCCACACACGGGAGAAGCCACAUAGAUGCAUGGAAUGUGAAUGA
RNAcentral lists this long non-coding RNA (1125 nucleotides) under Anolis carolinensis (green anole). RNAcentral describes it as "lncRNA (ENSACAG00000042670.1)". Lineage: Eukaryota; Metazoa; Chordata; Lepidosauria; Squamata; Anolidae. The record is from RNAcentral.